RNAcentral lists this ribosomal RNA (119 nucleotides) under Aotus nancymaae (Ma's night monkey). Lineage: Eukaryota; Metazoa; Chordata; Mammalia; Primates; Aotidae. The record is from RNAcentral.
GUCUAUGGCCAUACCACCCUGAACGAACCCAAUCUCGUCUGAUCUCGGAAGCAAAGCAGGGUUGGGUCUGGUUAGUACUUGGAUGGGAGACUGCCUGGGAAUACUGGGUGCUGUAGGCU